This 498-nucleotide unclassified non-coding RNA is filed under the name Cystobasidium sp. OTU_099. RNAcentral's name for it is "sequence contains ITS1, 5.8S rRNA gene and ITS2". The stretch from base 139 to 292 matches the Rfam family "5.8S ribosomal RNA". The record is from RNAcentral. Lineage: Eukaryota; Fungi; Basidiomycota; Cystobasidiomycetes; Cystobasidiales; Cystobasidiaceae.
AUGAAUUUUAGGACGUUCUUUUUAGAAGUCCGACCCUUUCAUUUUCUUACACUGUGCACACACUUCUUUUUUACACACACUUUUAACACCUUAGUAUAAGAAUGUAAUAGUCUCUUUAUUGAGCAUAAAAAAAAAUAAAACUUUCAGCAACGGAUCUCUUGGCUCUCGCAUCGAUGAAGAACGCAGCGAAUUGCGAUAAGUAAUGUGAAUUGCAGAAUUCAGUGAAUCAUCGAAUCUUUGAACGCACCUUGCACUCUUUGGUAUUCCGAAGAGUAUGUCUGUUUGAGUGUCAUGAAACUCUCAACCCCCCUAUUUUGUAAUGAAAUGGGCGUGGGCUUGGAUUAUGGUUGUCUGUCGGCGUAAUUGCCGGCUCAACUGAAAUACACGAGCAACCCUAUUUAAAUAAACGGUUUGACUUGGCGUAAUAAUUAUUUCGCUAAGGACGUUUUCUUAAAAUAUAAGAGGUGCUACUAAUUCGCUAUUAUAGCAUUUAAGCUU